GGUAAACGGCGGCCGUAACUAUAACGGUCCUAAGGUAGCGAAAUUCCUUGUCGGGUAAGUUCCGACCUGCACGAAUGGCGUAACGAUGGCCACACUGUCUCCUCCCGAGACUCAGCGAAGUUGAAGUGUUUGUGAUGAUGCAAUCUACCCGCGGCUAGACGGAAAGACCCCAUGAACCUUUACUGUAGCUUUGUAUUGGACUUUGAACAGAUCUGUGUAGGAUAGGUGGGAGGCUUUGAAGCGUGGACGCCAGUUCGCGUGGAGCCAACCUUGAAAUACCACCCUGGCAACUUUGAGGUUCUAACUCAGGUCCGUUAUCCGGAUCGAGGACAGUGUAUGGUGGGUAGUUUGACUGGGGCGGUCUCCUCCUAAAGAGUAACGGAGGAGUACGAAGGUGCGCUCAGACCGGUCGGAAAUCGGUCGUAGAGUAUAAAGGCAAAAGCGCGCUUGACUGCGAGACAGACACGUCGAGCAGGUACGAAAGUAGGUCAUAGUGAUCCGGUGGUUCUGUAUGGAAGGGCCAUCGCUCAACGGAUAAAAGGUACUCUGGGGAUAACAGGCUGAUACCGCCCAAGAGUUCAUAUCGACGGCGGUGUUUGGCACCUCGAUGUCGGCUCAUCUCAUCCUGGGGCUGUAGCCGGUCCCAAGGGUAUGGCUGUUCGCCAUUUAAAGAGGUACGUGAGCUGGGUUUAGAACGUCGUGAGACAGUUCGG
This 713-nucleotide ribosomal RNA is filed under the name Chaetoceros affinis. RNAcentral's name for it is "partial Bacterial large subunit ribosomal RNA". It matches the Rfam family "Bacterial large subunit ribosomal RNA", at positions 1922 to 2634 of the family's 2925-position model. Lineage: Eukaryota; Bacillariophyta; Thalassiosirophyceae; Chaetocerotales; Chaetocerotaceae. The record is from RNAcentral.